Long non-coding RNA from Cimex lectularius (bed bug), 578 nucleotides. RefSeq lists it as uncharacterized. NCBI's taxonomy places the organism in Eukaryota, Metazoa, Arthropoda, Insecta, Hemiptera, Cimicidae. The transcript has 2 exons. The record is from RefSeq and is a predicted model, not a curated record.
ACAUCCCGCGUCGUGUCAGUUAGUUUGAAAACCCUGGGCGCAAUGGGGGCACCAUGGACGGGGGUCCGCUUAAGAGUUGCAAUCGCCCUGUGUGGUGGGAGGGAGGUCGGCUGACUCACCGAUUCUGAUUCAGGGAAAUACCGAGAUAAAGAAAAAGGUAGGUCACGCUGUCCGUAAAGCGUAGUUGUGACUAAUGACCGUCGACCACGUGGUUUCUACUUGUCAGCUCGGAUCGAAGAAGGGGCUCUGGGGAGAAGGGGUACCGUGGUGGGGCCCGUUUCCCCCGUACACCACAGCUCAGGGAAAACCUCUCCAAUAUUAAUAGCUUCUCGAUAUAAAAAUAAAACUCGUCUCUUUUUAUUCUCUCUCUCUUACAAUAAUCUGCUCAAAACAAACGUUCCCGCAGUUCCGGACGCGCCGCACUUCCAUCUCGACCCAAGUCCUUCAAGGUCUGCCAAUCGCACUCUUGGCCGGCGCGUGCAUCAUCUUCACUGAUGGGGUUUUCAGGUUAGGGUAUAAGUAGGGUGAGGCACAUGCCAUCAACUGAGGAUGGCGAAAGAACGAAAAAAAGUUUUUUU